Molecule: transfer RNA, 74 nt
Filed under: Staphylococcus aureus
Lineage: Bacteria; Bacillati; Bacillota; Bacilli; Caryophanales; Staphylococcaceae
Description: tRNA-Ile
Rfam family: tRNA
About the family: Transfer RNA (tRNA) molecules are approximately 80 nucleotides in length. Their secondary structure includes four short double-helical elements and three loops (D, anti-codon, and T loops).
Source: RNAcentral
GGACCUUUAGCUCAGUUGGUUAGAGCNNACGGCUCAUAACCGUUCGGUCGCAGGUUCGAGUCCUGCAAGGUCCA